RNAcentral lists this unclassified non-coding RNA (754 nucleotides) under Hevea brasiliensis (rubber tree). Lineage: Eukaryota; Viridiplantae; Streptophyta; Magnoliopsida; Malpighiales; Euphorbiaceae. The record is from RNAcentral.
AAACAGUAAAUAAUGGCAAACGCUAUGGACUAAAUAGUAAUUCUCCUAGAUAUUAUUUUAAAAAAUUUUUAAACUCGCCUUUCUAAUUUGCAACAGAAUAUAAAUUAUUUUUUUUUUACUUAUUUUAAAAACUUAGACAAUAUAAUGAAAAACAGUUUUUAAAAAACAAAGAACAAAAAACUACAACCAGAUUUUAGAUAAUAAAGGGGAAAAAUAUGCAAUGUACCAAACACACUUUAAUAGCCUGAAUUUUCAAUUUUAUUAUCAAAUCAUUCAAGAGCAACCUAACACCCAAUAGCCCAUAAGAAUAACAAUAUAGGUAUGAUAAAAUAUGUCUUUCACUAGCAACAAAGAAAACACCGUAAACAGUUAUAUUUUAAAUUUCUUCCCAAAACAGUCCUAAAAUAUGUUACUGAUGGCCCCACAUCACUCUUAUGAUGUUCAAGGGAAUAGAGUGAAGAGUAUGUCCCAUAUCAAAAUUUGAAUUUAAUUCAAUGUUAUUGUUUAUAAAAAACGAAAGCAACUAACUUCAAGGAUCUUGAACGUCUGAUACCAAACCAACACAAGACAGCCUCACAUCAGAACUGCGAAAAAUAAGCAUAUGAUGAGUAUCCCUGAAUGGUACCACUAGCAGUAACUAUGAACAGUAUUGUGAUUAGUAAAUAAAGAAUCUAAGCAUCACAUAAUUGACAACUCAAAAGGCAAAACUAGAGGAAUUUUGGACUUCAAAACUAGUCUUGAAUCUAUAAGAAAU